RNAcentral lists this ribosomal RNA (506 nucleotides) under Ustilago filiformis. Its description in RNAcentral is "partial large subunit ribosomal RNA". It matches the Rfam family "Eukaryotic large subunit ribosomal RNA", at positions 151 to 639 of the family's 3401-position model. The record is from RNAcentral. Lineage: Eukaryota; Fungi; Basidiomycota; Ustilaginomycetes; Ustilaginales; Ustilaginaceae.
CAAGAAGUGUUUUCCGCUUCGGACCAUGCCUAAGUCCCUUGGAAAAGGGCAUCAUAGAGGGUGAUAAUCCCGUACAUGGCAUGGAGCGCCCGAAGCUUUGUGAUACGCUUUCUAAGAGUCGAGUUGUUUGGGAAUGCAGCUCAAAAUGGGUGGUAAAUGCCAUCUAAGGCUAAAUAUUGGGGAGAGACCGAUAGCGAACAAGUACAGUGAUGGAAAGAUGAAAAGAACUUUGAAAAGAGAGUUAAACAGUACGUGAAAUUGCCAAAAGGGAAGGGUAGGAGGUCAGAGAUGCGGCCUAGGAUUCAGCCUUGCUUUUGCUUGGUGUUUUUCCUAGGUUGCAGGCCAACGUCGGUUUUGGGCACUGGAGAAGGGUGGAAGGAAUGUGGCACCUCUCGGGGUGUGUUAUAGCCUUCUACUGGAUACAGCGACCGAGACCGAGGACAGCAGCGUACUCGCAAGAGCGGGCCUUCGGGCACCUUUACGCUUAGGGCGUUGGCAUAAUGGCC